AGAGUUUGAUCCUGGCUCAGAUUGAACGCUGGCGGCAGGCCUAACACAUGCAAGUCGAGCGGUAGAGAGAAGCUUGCUUCUCUUGAGAGCGGCGGACGGGUGAGUAAUGCCUAGGAAUCUGCCUGGUAGUGGGGGAUAGCGUUCGGAAACGGACGCUAAUACCGCAUACGUCCUACGGGAGAAAGCAGGGGACCUUCGGGCCUUGCGCUAUCAGAUGAGCCUAGGUCGGAUUAGCUAGUUGGUGAGGUAAUGGCUCACCAAGGCGACGAUCCGUAACUGGUCUGAGAGGAUGAUCAGUCACACUGGAACUGAGACACGGUCCAGACUCCUACGGGAGGCAGCAGUGGGGAAUAUUGGACAAUGGGCGAAAGCCUGAUCCAGCCAUGCCGCGUGUGUGAAGAAGGUCUUCGGAUUGUAAAGCACUUUAAGUUGGGAGGAAGGGUUGUAGAUUAAUACUCUGCAAUUUUGACGUUACCGACAGAACAAGCACCGGCUAACUCUGUGCCAGCAGCCGCGGUAAUACAGAGGGUGCAAGCGUUAAUCGGAAUUACUGGGCGUAAAGCGCGCGUAGGUGGUUUGUUAAGUUGGAUGUGAAAUCCCCGGGCUCAACCUGGGAACUGCAUUCAAAACUGACUGACUAGAGUAUGGUAGAGGGUGGUGGAAUUUCCUGUGUAGCGGUGAAAUGCGUAGAUAUAGGAAGGAACACCAGUGGCGAAGGCGACCACCUGGACUAAUACUGACACUGAGGUGUGAAAGCGUGGGGAGCAAACAGGAUUAGAUACCCUGGUAGUCC
RNAcentral lists this ribosomal RNA (793 nucleotides) under uncultured bacterium. RNAcentral describes it as "bacterial SSU rRNA". It matches the Rfam family "Bacterial small subunit ribosomal RNA", at positions 8 to 796 of the family's 1533-position model. The record is from RNAcentral.